Molecule: ribosomal RNA, 274 nt
Filed under: uncultured bacterium
Lineage: Bacteria
Description: partial 16S ribosomal RNA
Rfam family: Bacterial small subunit ribosomal RNA
Source: RNAcentral
AUACGGAGGGUGCAAGCGUUACUCGGAAUCACUGGGCGUAAAGCGCGCGCAGGCGGCUAUUUAAGUUGGAUGUUAAAGCCUACGGCUCAACCGUAGAACUGCAUCCAAAACUAUUUAGCUAGAGUGUGGGAGAGGAAGAUGGAAUUAGUUGUGUAGGGGUAAAAUCCGUAGAGAUAACUAGGAAUACCAAAAGCGAAGGCAAUCUUCUGGAACACUACUGACGCUGAGGCGCGAAAGCGUGCGGAGCAAACAGGAUUAGAAACCCUAGUAGUCC